This 858-nucleotide ribosomal RNA is filed under the name uncultured cyanobacterium. Its description in RNAcentral is "bacterial SSU rRNA". It matches the Rfam family "Bacterial small subunit ribosomal RNA", at positions 541 to 1398 of the family's 1533-position model. Lineage: Bacteria; Bacillati; Cyanobacteriota. The record is from RNAcentral.
UUAUCCGGAAUUAUUGGGCGUAAAGCGUCCGUAGUGGUUAUUCAAGUCUGCUGUCAAAGCGUGGGGCUUAACUCCAUAGAGGCAGUGGAAACUGAGUGACUAGAGUGCGGUAGGGGUCGAGGGAAUUCCCAGUGUAGCGGUGAAAUGCGUAGAUAUUGGGAAGAACACCAGUKGCGAAAGCGCUCGACUGGGCCUGCACUGACACUGAGGGACGAAAGCUAGGGGAGCGAAAGGGAUUAGAUACCCCUGUAGUCCUAGCCGUAAACGAUGGAUACUAGGUGUUGCUCGUCAUCGACCCGAGCAGUGCCGUAGCCAACGCGUUAAGUAUCCCGCCUGGGGAGUACGCUCGCAAGAGUGAAACUCAAAAGGAAUUGACGGGGGCCCGCACAAGCGGUGGAGUAUGUGGUUUAAUUCGAUGCAACGCGAAGAACCUUACCAGGGCUUGACAUGUCCGGAACCUUGCCGAGAGGUGAGGGUGCCUUCGGGAGCCGGAACACAGGUGGUGCAUGGCUGUCGUCAGCUCGUGUCGUGAGAUGUUGGGUUAAGUCCCGCAACGAGCGCAACCCACGUUCUUAGUUGCCAGCAUUGAGUUGGGCACUCUAGGGAGACUGCCGGUGACAAACCGGAGGAAGGUGUGGAUGACGUCAAGUCAGCAUGCCCCUUACGUCCUGGGCUACACACGUACUACAAUGCUGUGGACAAAGGGCAGCCAGCCAGCGAUGGUGAGCUAAUCCCAGAAACCACGGCUCAGUUCAGAUUGCAGGCUGCAACUCGCCUGCAUGAAGGAGGAAUCGCUAGUAAUCGCAGGUCAGCAUACUGCGGUGAAUACGUUCCCGGGCCUUGCACACACCGCCCGUC